Polypterus senegalus (gray bichir) is the source of this 716-nucleotide long non-coding RNA. RefSeq lists it as uncharacterized. Lineage: Eukaryota; Metazoa; Chordata; Cladistia; Polypteriformes; Polypteridae. The record is from RefSeq and is a predicted model, not a curated record. The transcript is spliced from 3 exons.
AGGAAACCCCUCCACUGAGUUUUAAAGAGCUGUCAGACUGCAGAGAGGAGCACAGUACAAGGUCACAAGUCUCUGUAGCCUCUCCUAGGAACAGCAGGUUUAAGCAGGAACAAACCCUGCAUGGGAACUCAGUAUUUUGCAGAUGAUGUGGUCCUGUUGGCAUCACUGGGCUGUGAACUCAAGCACACAUUUUGAUGAUUUACGACAAAGUGUGAAGCAGCAUGGAUGAGGAUCAGCAGCUCCAAAUCUUAGGCCAUGGUCCUUAGUAGGAAAAGGUGGACUGUCCUCUAAUGUCCUGGGAGGUGAGUUAUUGCCUCAAUUGGAGGAGUUUAAGUACCUCAGGGUUCAUGAGUGAAGACCAAAGGAAUGGCAAGAUUGAGUGAUGGAUUGGGGCAGCAAAUGCAGUUAUGUGGUCACUAUUCCAACCUGUAGUGGUGAAGAAGGACCUGAGUCAGAAGGAGUAGCUCUCCAUCUUCCAGUCGAUGGUUGUCCCUACCCUUACCUAUGGUCAUAAGCUUUAGGUAAUGACUGAAAGAAUGCCAUCAAGUACAAGUAGCCGAAAUGAACUUUCAUUGCAGGGUGGCUGGGCUUUCCCUUAGAGGUAGAGUGAGAAGCACAGACAUCUGGGAGAGGCUCGAAGUACAGCCGUUGACCCUCCGCAUUGGGAGGAGCUAAUUGAGGUGGUUCGGGCAUCUGAUAUGGAAUGACCACCUGGG